AUUUGUUUUAUUUUAUAAUGGUUUUAAUUUAUAUAAAUUUCAAUUUAUUUUUUUUUUUUAAUCUGUCCUAUAAGACGACCCCAGAUUUUGGGGGUCUUUUUUUAUGAUUCAACUAUUGUCUUAUCUGCACAGAUAUACAGUAACUACUAGACCCCAAAUAAAAGUUAACGUAGAAACUAGUGCCACCAUCACGGACUAAGGCAAAAUGUGCAUAUGCUAUGGACAAUGUUGCGUGCUGUCUUAUAGUAUCUAUUUCUGGUAUAAUAGUUAUUUAUUUAGACUCGUGUGUGCAGAAUUAUCACAGGAGCAUAACAGGAAUGCCACUGAGUUGCUGUGCAGUUAAUUGUAGAGCAAGAUAUAAAAAAGAAUCUGGUAUUACAUUUCAUCGGUUUCCUAAAAACAAGCAAUACUUUGGUCAAACGUUGACAGCAAUAUGACAUGACAAAUGGAAUCCAAGCAAUAAUAGUGUUCUUUGUAGUCAGCACGUUGAGCCUAAUUGUUUCUACAGACAGAACAGAUAUACCUAUUUGCGUAAAACCUACAAAAUUUGAUUUUUCUCAACCUCUAUGGAGACAGCCAGUAGUGCCACAAAGUAAAGUGAACAUUUUUGGCUAACAUAGAUGAUGAUAUCUAUGAUGAUCAAAGUGUGCAGCAGCAGCAGCAAGAUAAAGCUCAAAUAUCUGACCCAACAUAUCAGAUCAUCAAUACUGUGUACCUAGUCCUAAAAAGUCAAUAUGGAAAAUGGCAGACUAUAGGGAAAAGUGUACUGCUCUGCAGUGCAAAUUGAGAAAUUGUCAACAACUUUGAGCAUAGAACAAGAUUAUCAACUUUGAAAGACUAACGGAAGAACUGAAAAUGGAAAUUGAGAUGUACUGAAUUGAAGAAGUGCUCAGACAUCUGUGUGAAGGAAGUUUGAAAAGACAAAACAAUCUUCUGCUUUAUUUGCAGGUUGAAAUAUUAAUUCUGGUAAAGAAACUGCAUCUCUCUCACCAAGAUGAUCAUCUUUUCAAAAGUGCUGAG
Centruroides sculpturatus (bark scorpion) is the source of this 1020-nucleotide long non-coding RNA. RefSeq lists it as uncharacterized. The transcript is spliced from 3 exons. The record is from RefSeq and is a predicted model, not a curated record. Lineage: Eukaryota; Metazoa; Arthropoda; Arachnida; Scorpiones; Buthidae.